This is a non-coding RNA of Urocitellus parryii (Arctic ground squirrel), 324 nucleotides long. The record is from RefSeq and is a predicted model, not a curated record. NCBI's taxonomy places the organism in Eukaryota, Metazoa, Chordata, Mammalia, Rodentia, Sciuridae.
GUCCCUUGCAUGUGGUGCCCUGUUACUGCUGAUAAGACUUGCACUGCUGACCAUUUACCCCCUAAGAGAAGAAAACUGACAUUGCUUAUAAGUUCAAAAUGACACUGCCAAAACCAGAAGAAAUGGAAAAUAACUGCAGCAUGUUUACGACAUAUUAGCUCCUUUCUCUACAUGAAACACACAAUGAGAACACUUUAUAGAUGAAUUGUGCCUUUGACUGAAUGGAGAAUGGUGGACGAGUUCUGGUUUUGUGGAAUUGGAAAAUUUGUCACAGUUUCUACCUCUGAAAAAUGAAAACCCAAAGGAAAACUAGUAGAAAGACUU